GGCAGAGAUAGAAUUGCAUCAACUGGUCAACACAGAAACUCCCAUAGGGUAUGAAGGAUUGUCAGAGGUCUCAGUGCCUCACACCACAGCCAGGGCUGAGGUAAUGAAACAUCGGUAUGGACGUCUCUUAAUCCUUAUUGAAUUGCACUUUAUUGUCACGUGCACUCGAAUAACAGGAUAACCAGGAAUGUAUUGGGAUAAAGUUGCAUUAUUGAUGGAGUGGAUUGAGUUGAUGAGGCGCCUUUUACAGUAAAGGGGAGAUCGGUUUUGUCCAGCUUCAGAAAAUGUAAACUCAUGCUGGUUAAAACAUGAGCUUCCCAGGAAUUUACAGCAACACAACAGACCUCAGUCUGCUGUGAAGAAGAUGAUACAGCCCAGGUAGAUGGGGACUGUCAGGAUUUUGAUCAAGCAACCAUCGAGUAACAACCAUAUAUGGCAAGUGUCAGAAUACGGUGAGUUUUAGACAAUGAAACAACUCACGAGAGGAUGAUGCUCCACAAACAUCCCCCCACCAACAAUGGUAAAGCCCAGCACAUGAAGGUGGAAACAUUUUCAUUCAUCUUCAGCCAGACAUGCUGAGUGGGUGAACCUUCAUGAACUCCUCCUGUGUCUCCAGCAUCACAAAUUCCAGUCCUCAGUUCAUAGGAUUUCUCUCUAUAUGAUAUCAAGAAAUGGUUGACUUGAAACUGCAAAGACUAUGAGAUUUGACAAUAUUCCAGCAAUGAUGCUAAAGACUUACAUUCCUUAACUACCUGUGCCUCCAAACAAGCUGUAGUAGUAUAGUUACAACACUGGCAUUCAUCCGACAAUAUGGAAAAUUACCCAGGUCUGCAAAAAACAGGACAACUCUAACUUGACCAAUUACUGCCCUAUCAGUCUACUUUCCAUCAUCAGCAAAGUGUCAUCAACAGUGAUAUCAAGUGUCACUUGCAAAAGAAUAAUCUGCUCAUUGACGCUCAGUCUGGGUACCCCCAGGGCCAUGCAUCUCCUGACCUCAUUACAGCCUUGGUCCAAAUGUGGGCAAAAGAGUUGAGGUGAGGUGAGAGUGACAGCCCUUCACAUCAAGGUGGCAUCUGAUUGAUUGUUGCAGAAUCGCAAAACUGGAGGCAGUUGGAAUCAGCGAUGAAGCCCUCCACUAGUGGCAAUCAUUUCUGAGAAGGAGCAGCGCUCCAAAA
Non-coding RNA from Chiloscyllium plagiosum (whitespotted bambooshark), 1175 nucleotides. The record is from RefSeq and is a predicted model, not a curated record. Lineage: Eukaryota; Metazoa; Chordata; Chondrichthyes; Orectolobiformes; Hemiscylliidae.